Molecule: ribosomal RNA, 486 nt
Filed under: Triticum aestivum (bread wheat)
Lineage: Eukaryota; Viridiplantae; Streptophyta; Magnoliopsida; Poales; Poaceae
Description: partial small subunit ribosomal RNA
Source: RNAcentral
AUGGUGCCAUGGUGGUGCACAAUGUCUUUGGACUUCUCUGAGCUGAAGGUUCAUUCAAGAUUAACCAAUGAUUCAUAUUCGCAUAUUCAGAGGAGAGAUACCCAGGUCAAGCUUGCAUGGUCUCUGUUUGUUGUGGCUGCUGACAUGGUCGAUGCUGAACUGGAAUUAACCCUGUUUCAAUAUGCCACAUCCUUUGAGGUGGUCCCCUCCUUGCUUGUCGAGAUCGCCCCCAUCUUCCGUGUCGCCAACGAGGCCGAGGCCAGCGACCCACGAGUCGCCUACCUAUUACUAGUUGAUUCACUGAGAAGAUUCAGUAAUGAGUUGAAAAUGUACCAGAGGCUGACCAGAUACUCCAUUGACUUCUCUAGCUCCCACAUGUCGCCCCUGGGCUGGAGCGCGCUCGUGGGCGAUCGGCAUCCUCCUGGCGGCGCUGUUCCUCACAAAGUUGCUGCUGCUGUGCUGGAAGCACACCACAACUUUAGUUGA